AGUGAACGCUGGCGGUAGGCCUAACACAUGCAAGUCGAACGGCAGCACAGUAAGAGCUUGCUCUUACGGGUGGCGAGUGGCAGACGGGUGAGGAAUACAUCGGAAUCUACUUUUUCGUGGGGGAUAACGUAGGGAAACUUACGCUAAUACCGCAUACGACCUACGGGUGAAAGCAGGGGAUCUUCGGACCUUGCGCGAUUGAAUGAGCCGAUGUCGGAUUAGCUAGUUGGCGGGGUAAAGGCCCACCAAGGCGACGAUCCGUAGCUGGUCUGAGAGGAUGAUCAGCCACACUGGAACUGAGACACGGUCCAGACUCCUACGGGAGGCAGCAGUGGGGAAUAUUGGACAAUGGGCGCAAGCCUGAUCCAGCCAUACCGCGUGGGUGAAGAAGGCCUUCGGGUUGUAGAGCCCUUUUGUUGGGAAAGAAAAGCAGCAGGUUAAUACCCCGCUGUUCUGACGGUACCCAAAGAAUAAGCACCGGCUAACUUCGUG
Molecule: ribosomal RNA, 492 nt
Filed under: uncultured bacterium
Lineage: Bacteria
Description: partial 16S ribosomal RNA
Rfam family: Bacterial small subunit ribosomal RNA
Source: RNAcentral